AUGGCUCAGAUUGAACGCUGGCGGCAGGCCUAACACAUGCAAGUCGAGCGGCAGCGGAAAGUAGCUUGCUACUUUGCCGGCGAGCGGCGGACGGGUGAGUAAUGUCUGGGAAACUGCCUGAUGGGGGGGGAUAACUACUGGAAACGGUAGCUAAUACCGCAUAACGUCGCAAGACCAAAGAGGGGGACCUUCGGGCCUCUUGCCAUCAGAUGUGCCCAGAUGGGAUUAGCUAGUAGGUGGGGUAACGGCUCACCUAGGCGACGAUCCCUAGCUGGUCUGAGAGGAUGACCAGCCACACUGGAACUGAGACACGGUCCAGACUCCUACGGGAGGCAGCAGUGGGGAAUAUUGCACAAUGGGCGCAAGCCUGAUGCAGCCAUGCCGCGUGUAUGAAGAAGGCCUUCGGGUUGUAAAGUACUUUCAGCGGGGAGGAAGGUGUUGUGGUUAAUAACCACAGCAAUUGACGUUACCCGCAGAAGAAGCACCGGCUAACUCCGUGCCAGCAGCCGCGGUAAUACGGAGGGUGCAAGCGUUAAUCGGAAUUACUGGGCGUAAAGCGCACGCAGGCGGUCUGUCAAGUCGGAUGUGAAAUCCCCGGGCUCAACCUGGGAACUGCAUUCGAAACUGGCAGGCUAGAGUCUUGUAGAGGGGGGUAGAAUUCCAGGUGUAGCGGUGAAAUGCGUAGAGAUCUGGAGGAAUACCGGUGGCGAAGGCGGCCCCCUGGACAAAGACUGACGCUCAGGUGCGAAAGCGUGGGGAGCAAAC
RNAcentral lists this ribosomal RNA (765 nucleotides) under uncultured bacterium. RNAcentral describes it as "bacterial SSU rRNA". It matches the Rfam family "Bacterial small subunit ribosomal RNA", at positions 19 to 773 of the family's 1533-position model. The record is from RNAcentral.